Schistosoma haematobium is the source of this 105-nucleotide non-coding RNA. The record is from Rfam. Lineage: Eukaryota; Metazoa; Platyhelminthes; Trematoda; Strigeidida; Schistosomatidae.
GCUUGCUUCGCCGGUGUGUAUACUAAAAUUGGAAUGAUACAAAGAAGAUUAACAUGGCCUCUAAGCAUGAAUGACAUGCAAAAUCAUGAGGCAUUCCAUAUUAUU